CCGGGUGCAAGAGUCCCGGUCACAAUUUGCCCUUUCUCUAAACCCCCGCUGGGGUGGGCAGGAGACCGACUCGGUAACUAUUCCAGGAUCUCCGGGAUCUUCCUCGGCCGAAGCCCCGCGCGGAGAGGGCACUUUCUGGGCACCCUGGGCUCCUCCAGCCCCGGUUCUCUCGGCCGCUUUUCCGCCGGCUUCGCCCCCCCUCCGCCUGCCCGGCGCUCUCAGCCUCAACAGGGCGUCAGCCGCCCUACCCCACCCUUUCUCUCAGUGGCACGUCUCUCCCCGAGUCCCACUCCUAACGUUCUCGUAAUUCCGUCCCCAGGGCUCCGACCGCCGGUUCAUUGGCCCUCCCGGAGCCCGAGGGCGCGGCUUCCCCACCCCUGCGUCCACCGCGCGUCCGGACACGGGCAGCCGGGACUUGGCCAAUGGCGUCGGGGGGCAGGGCAGGGGCGGAGCCGGCGGCGGGGGCCGGGGUUGCUGGGCUGGGAGCGCCGGGACUGGCUGCGCCGCCGGGCCUGGGUGACGAGGGGCGGGCGCGCGCACCCCGGCAGAAGGGAUGGGGGUUGGGAGGAGGCCAUAAAACGAGAGGCGGGGCGCGCGCCGCGGCAGAAAGAGCGAAGCUCUGGCCCGGCGUGGAGCGGGCGCACGACGGGACGCUGGGCCGGGCACCGGGCUGUGUGGAGAAGUGAGCGCGCUCGUCUGAUCCCCGCGCCCGCCACCCCGCGCCACCGGCGGCGAGCUCCAGGGCCCGCCCGAGGCCUCCGUUCUCUCUGUCCUCCGCCCCGCAGCGGCGACCAGGUGCACUCGGCGAGCCCGCCGCUCCCGACCCUCCCGCGCCCCCGCCCUGCCGCGCUGCUCCCCGCCCCGCCGCGGUCUGUGGUCCAAGCCGCCCCAGAAGCAGCCCGAACAAGAUCACUCAAGGUGAAGGAUAAUCUACCAAUACCAGCACUUUGAAUGAAAAUUUGUUUCUCUGCCACAAACUGAACACUUUUUUUUUUUUUGGUGGGGGAGUUGAAACAAACCU
This 1021-nucleotide long non-coding RNA is filed under the name Callithrix jacchus (white-tufted-ear marmoset). RNAcentral's name for it is "lncRNA (ENSCJAG00000055754.2)". Lineage: Eukaryota; Metazoa; Chordata; Mammalia; Primates; Cebidae. The record is from RNAcentral.